AACUAGCACAGACAAAAACCACAUUUUUUAACAUUGCUCAUUUUACAGUCAACAGAGCACUGUUAAUCACUUAACAGUCUUGAUACUUGAAUUUUAAUACAAAAAAAUACGUCUGAAAUAUGUAUCAGAAAUAAUUUCAGAAAUAUUAAAUAUAAAGAAAUAUUUCAGAAUUUUUUUUAUAAUAAUAUUGAAAAAAAAGUCAAUUUUGAAAAAGUAACAAUUUAAAAAAGAAAAUUGGAACAUGGAGAGGCAAAAAAACCACGGCGAUUACGAGCGACUACUGAAAUUAACGGAAAUUUACGGUGCAAUUCACACCAUCUAUCGAAACUGAAGUAGAAACUAGAGAAGAUUAUGAUUGUGAUUAAUUUUGUAAACAUAAAUGAGCAAUUUGUCGAAUAACUUCAGCGCUUUCGUAACUGUAAAAACUAGAAAGUCGAAGAAUUUAUAUGAUAUCCGACAGAAACGUUGUCGAGGAAAUUCAUGUUGUAAACGACACCACGGAAAGAGGAGUGAAAAUGAUGGAGGACUACAAUAAAAAAAUGGAACACAAAUGAAGAGGAGAAGCAAUAUUUGAUUUAAGUUGUCGGAGAUUAUCGCCAAAAAUAUCCUAUUUUUAAAAAACGCUUUUUAAUAUAGCAUUUAUAAUUAUGUUAUAUAUAAAUAACUUCAAUAAACCAUUUUAUUUUAUUGCAAUAA
Long non-coding RNA from Calliphora vicina (urban bluebottle blowfly), 696 nucleotides. RefSeq lists it as uncharacterized. The record is from RefSeq and is a predicted model, not a curated record. Lineage: Eukaryota; Metazoa; Arthropoda; Insecta; Diptera; Calliphoridae. The transcript is spliced from 2 exons.